This 320-nucleotide ribosomal RNA is filed under the name uncultured eukaryote. RNAcentral's name for it is "partial 18S ribosomal RNA". It matches the Rfam family "Eukaryotic small subunit ribosomal RNA", at positions 1470 to 1796 of the family's 1831-position model. The record is from RNAcentral.
CCCCUAGAUGUUCUGGGCCGCACGCGCGCUACACUGAACAGUUCAACAAGUCUUAACCUUGGCCGAUAGGUCUGGGUAAUCUUUGAACGCUGUUCGUGAUUGGGAUAGACCUUUGCAAUUAUGGGUCUUCAACGAGGAAUUCCUAGUAAACGCAAGUCAUCAGCUUGCAUUGAUUACGUCCCUGCCCUUUGUACACACCGCCCGUCGCACCUACCGAUUGAAUGGUCCGGUGAAAUCUCGGGACGGCGGCUUGGUCGCUUGCGUCCGACUGCUGAAACUUGAUUAAACCAUAUCAUUUAGAGGAACGUGAAGUCGUAACA